ACGAACGCUGGCGGCAUGCCUAACCCCUGCAAGUCGAACGAGACCUUCGGGUCUAGUGGCGCACGGGUGCGUAACGCGUGGGAACCUGCCCUUAGGUUCGGAAUAACUCCCCGAAAGGGGUGCUAAUACCGGAUAAUGUCUUCGGAUCAAAGAUUUAUCGCCUUUGGAUGGGCCCGCGUUGGAUUAGCUAGUUGGUAGGGUAAAAGCCUACCAAGGCGACGAUCCAUAGCUGGUCUGAGAGGAUGAUCAGCCACACUGGGACUGAGACACGGCCCAGACUCCUACGGGAGGCAGCAGUGGGGAAUAUUGGACAAUGGGCGAAAGCCUGAUCCAGCAAUGCCGCGUGAGUGAUGAAGGCCUUAGGGUUGUAAAGCUCUUUUACCCGGGAUGAUAAUGACAGUACCGGGAGAAUAAGCUCCGGCUAACUCCGUG
RNAcentral lists this ribosomal RNA (432 nucleotides) under uncultured bacterium. Its description in RNAcentral is "partial 16S ribosomal RNA". It matches the Rfam family "Bacterial small subunit ribosomal RNA", at positions 29 to 507 of the family's 1533-position model. The record is from RNAcentral.